CAGCAGCCGCGGGAAAACGGAGGAUCCAAGCGUUAUUCGGAAUCAUUGGGUUUAAAGGGUCCGUAGGCGGUUUAGUAAGUCAGUGGUGAAAGCCCAUCGCUCAACGGUGGAACGGCCAUUGAUACUGCUGAACUUGAAUUAUUAGGAAGUAACUAGAAUAUGUAGUGUAGCGGUGAAAUGCUUAGAGAUUACAUGGAAUACCAAUUGCGAAGGCAGGUUACUACUAAUUGAUUGACGCUGAUGGACGAAAGCGUGGGGAGCGAACAGGAUUAGAUACCCCCGUAGUCCCUGUCUCUUAUAC
Molecule: ribosomal RNA, 301 nt
Filed under: uncultured bacterium
Lineage: Bacteria
Description: partial 16S ribosomal RNA
Rfam family: Bacterial small subunit ribosomal RNA
Source: RNAcentral